This 495-nucleotide ribosomal RNA is filed under the name uncultured bacterium. Its description in RNAcentral is "partial 16S ribosomal RNA". It matches the Rfam family "Bacterial small subunit ribosomal RNA", at positions 28 to 507 of the family's 1533-position model. The record is from RNAcentral.
GACGAACGCUGGCGGCGUGCCUAAUACGUGCAAGUAGAACGCUGAAGGAGGAGCUUGCUUCUCUGGAUGAGUUGCGAACGGGUGAGUAACGCGUAGGUAACCUGCCUGGUAGCGGGGGAUAACUAUUGGAAACGAUAGCUAAUACCGCAUAAGAGUAAAUGUUGCAUGACAUUUGCUUAAAAGGUGCAAUUGCAUCACUACCAGAUGGACCUGCGUUGUAUUAGCUAGUUGGUGGGGUAACGGCUCACCAAGGCGACGAUACAUAGCCGACCUGAGAGGGUGAUCGGCCACACUGGGACUGAGACACGGCCCAGACUCCUACGGGAGGCAGCAGUAGGGAAUCUUCGGCAAUGGACGGAAGUCUGACCGAGCAACGCCGCGUGAGUGAAGAAGGUUUUCGGAUCGUAAAGCUCUGUUGUAAGAGAAGAACGAGUGUGAGAGUGGAAAGUUCACACUGUGACGGUAUCUUACCAGAAAGGGACGGCUAACUACGUG